AAAGCUCAGGCAAUUUCUCUUGAGCACUUCCCUUCAGAUGAAAAAGCAGCUGAAGAAACAUUUGGUGCAUCGACUGGAAGUUGCUCAUCUUUAAAGAAAACAAGGGGAAAAGGGAUGGUAGAUGCUUCAGUUUUUAGCUGCCCCACCUUGCCAAAGAAGAGAACGAAUAGGAGGGAAUUCGGUGGAGUUGGUGAUAUUAAACCGUCUGGAUCAUGGACGGAUCCUACUGGAAAGCGAAAGAAGAAGAAGAAACCUGUGGUUGAAGAGUCGUUGCCACAAGAUUUUGUCAACUACUGGCGAGAGCAUUUUAAAGAGAUUGAUGAGUUUGAAUUGCCAGAAGAGGAAGCAUCAUAUAGUGAUUUGGAAUAGAAAGGAGAGGAAUAGUGCUUGUCAGGAAGCAAAUCUAGUCUGA
Molecule: unclassified non-coding RNA, 412 nt
Filed under: Hevea brasiliensis (rubber tree)
Lineage: Eukaryota; Viridiplantae; Streptophyta; Magnoliopsida; Malpighiales; Euphorbiaceae
Source: RNAcentral